GAUGAACGCUGGCGGCGUGCCUAAUACAUGCAAGUCGAGCGAACGGACGAGAAGCUUGCUUCUCUGAUGUUAGCGGCGGACGGGUGAGUAACACGUGGAUAACCUACCUAUAAGACUGGGAUAACUUCGGGAAACCGGAGCUAAUACCGGAUAAUAUUUUGAACCGCAUGGUUCAAAAGUGAAAGACGGUCUUGCUGUCACUUAUAGAUGGAUCCGCGCUGCAUUAGCUAGUUGGUAAGGUAACGGCUUACCAAGGCAACGAUGCAUAGCCGACCUGAGAGGGUGAUCGGCCACACUGGAACUGAGACACGGUCCAGACUCCUACGGGAGGCAGCAGUAGGGAAUCUUCCGCAAUGGGCGAAAGCCUGACGGAGCAACGCCGCGUGAGUGAUGAAGGUCUUCGGAUCGUAAGACUCUGUUAUUAGGGAAGAACAUAUGUGUAAGUAACUGUGCACAUCUUGACGGUACCUAAUCAGAAAGCCACGGCUAACUACGUGCCAGCAGCCGCGGUAAUACGUAGGUGGCAAGCGUUAUCCGGAAUUAUUGGGCGUAAAGCGCGCGUAGGCGGUUUUUUAAGUCUGAUGUGAAAGCCCACGGCUCAACCGUGGAGGGUCAUUGGAAACUGGAAAACUUGAGUGCAGAAGAGGAAAGUGGAAUUCCAUGUGUAGCGGUGAAAUGCGCAGAGAUAUGGAGGAACACCAGUGGCGAAGGCGACUUUCUGGUCUGUAACUGACGCUGAUGUGCGAAAGCGUGGGGAUCAAACAGGAUUAGAUACCCUGGUAGUCCACGCCGUAAACGAUGAGUGCUAAGUGUUAGGGGGUUUCCGCCCCUUAGUGCUGCAGCUAACGCAUUAAGCACUCCGCCUGGGGAGUACGACCGCAAGGUUGAAACUCAAAGGAAUUGACGGGGACCCGCACAAGCGGUGGAGCAUGUGGUUUAAUUCGAAGCAACGCGAAGAACCUUACCAAAUCUUGACAUCCUUUGACAACUCUAGAGAUAGAGCUUUCCCCUUCGGGGGACAAAGUGACAGGUGGUGCAUGGUUGUCGUCAGCUCGUGUCGUGAGAUGUUGGGUUAAGUCCCGCAACGAGCGCAACCCUUAAGCUUAGUUGCCAUCAUUAAGUUGGGCACUCUAAGUUGACUGCCGGUGACAAACCGGAGGAAGGUGGGGAUGACGUCAAAUCAUCAUGCCCCUUAUGAUUUGGGCUACACACGUGCUACAAUGGACGAUACAAAGGGCAGCGAAACCGCGAGGUCAAGCAAAUCCCAUAAAGUUGUUCUCAGUUCGGAUUGUAGUCUGCAACUCGACUACAUGAAGCUGGAAUCGCUAGUAACCGUAGAUCAGCAUGCUACGGUGAAUACGUUCCCGGGUCU
This 1372-nucleotide ribosomal RNA is filed under the name uncultured bacterium. RNAcentral's name for it is "bacterial SSU rRNA". It matches the Rfam family "Bacterial small subunit ribosomal RNA", at positions 28 to 1381 of the family's 1533-position model. The record is from RNAcentral.